Schistocerca serialis cubense is the source of this 5864-nucleotide long non-coding RNA. RefSeq lists it as uncharacterized. Lineage: Eukaryota; Metazoa; Arthropoda; Insecta; Orthoptera; Acrididae. The transcript has 2 exons. The record is from RefSeq and is a predicted model, not a curated record.
UCCGCCAUGUCCAGAUCUCAAAAGCCUCCAGCCUUUCUCUGUCUUUUUUCCUCAUAGUCCAUCAUUCAGUGCCAUAUAAGAACACUGCAUACAAGACAUUUUAUGAGUCUCUUUCUGAGUUCUCUGUCCAGACCGCUGCAGAAGAUUCUCCUUUUCUUAUAAAAUGCCUCUUUUGCCAUUGCUGUCCUUGUUUUAAUUUCUGUGGUGCACUUCCAGUCGGUGUCUAUCCUGCUUCCAAGAUACUUAAAAUUUUGCACCUGUUCUAGUGUUUCUCCAUUCAGCACAAUUUUUAUUUCCUUAUUUCCUCCUAUUGCCAAUACUUUUGUUUUAUUUGUGUUAAUUUUCAUUCCAUAUUUUUUUCCGUUAGUUGCAAUGGUGUCCACCAAAUCCUGUAAUUCUUUUUCCCCUGUGGCUAGAAGGACCAUGUCAUCAGCAAAUCUCAAGCACCCUACUCUUCUUACUCCAAUUUCUACUCCUUUGUCAUCUAAUGAGCAAUGGUCAAUCAUAUUUUCCAAGUACAGGUUGAAAAGAGUAGGUGAUAAACAGCAUCCUUGUCUUACUCCUUUCCCUAGUCUGAUCCAGUUUGUACUUUCUCCUCUCACUUUAACUGAAACUUUUUGAUUGAGGUAUAAUGAGUUUAUAAGUCUUCUGGUUUUCCAGUCCAAUCUCUCUCCCUCAUAAUAGUCGCCAGCUUGUCCCAAACCACAUUGUCAAAUGCCUUUUCUAAAUCGAUGAAGCACAUAUAUAGGUCUCUUCCUUUUUCAAUAAACCUUUCUCCCAAGAUUUGUAGGAGCCCUAUUGCAUCUCUGGUGCCCGUAUUCCUUCUAAAGCCAAACUGCUCCUCACCGAGAUUCUCCUCUAUUACUUUUUCAAGUCUUUUAUUAAUUAUUCUUAACAUCACUCUGGAUGCAUGUGAAAUGAGGCUGAUUGUCCUGUGCUCGCUGCAUUUCUUGGUUCCUUGUUUGUGUCAAAAAGUCCUCAGGCCAUUCACCACUGUCAUAUAUUUUAUUAUAUAACCUCAAUAUUUCUCUUAUUCCAUUGUGGUUCAAGCAUUUUAGUAUUUCUCCCGGUAUUGUAUCUGUACCUACUGCUUUGCCAUUUUUCAUUGCAGCAAUGGCAGACUUUACUUCUUCCAUUAUGAUGGUCGGUCCUUUCUCUUCAUCACUUACACUGUUGUGUGAUUCAAGUUCCAGAGUUUCUGGUUUGCUAUUUGUGUCAUAUAGCUCUUUUAUAUAUUCUUCCCAUCUCUGGAGGACAUCGUCACGAUCUUUGUACACAACCUCUUCGUCUUUACUCAAAAUUUCCAUAGUAGCACUUCCUGCUCUGUUUUGUUCCCAUGUCAUAGUCUUUACUCUGUUGUAUAGUAAGUCGUAUCUUCCCUUCCUGUCCAGUUCUUCAAUUUCAUCACAUUCAUCUUUUAGCCAUUUUUUCCUAGCCUGCUCUGUUUCUCUUCGCAGUUCGUUAUUUAAUCUUCAGUAUAUCUUUCUUGCAUCUUCAUUGUUCUUGUUUUUCAAUUUUCUUCUCUCCAGGAAGUUCUGAAUUGUCCGUAAACCACCCAGAUGCAUAGAAAAGGUGGUAUCAGAUAUUUUGUAUGAGUCUAGGGGGAGGCUGUACUGUUAUAAUGUUCACUCGCUGUAGGAGGCUAUAUAUUUGUUUUGACACUCCAAGUUGGUGGUAUCAUGGACAUCUUGGAGUAAGAGGGCUGUUGACAGUUUCAAUGGGGACCCAAAACAAAUGAAUCACUUUUAUGUUCAAAAAUAACUUUGAUGUAUGGCCUAAGGGUCAGAUAUUAUGUAUCAUUAUCAUCAUCAGUUAUCUUCUAUAUUAGCAGGUCCUAUGCCUCUCCAUUUUCUGCGAUCCAUUGCUUCCUUCUUAAGGCUGCUGUAUGUUGUACCAUCCACAAAUAAAGUCAUAAGGAGACUUAUAAUAACUUAUUCACCCACCCGCUGGCACUGUGAGAAUAUUCUAAGUCCGUAUCAAGGUCACGGACUUAAGCGAGUGAUCGCCGCGUAGCGGCUGUUUCGCACUGCUGCUGCUGCACAGGCAACAGCAUUGAACGCUGCCACGUUGCCCAUACAUUGUCUGCGUUCCAUAAUUACAACAAUUCACUAUAUAAUAUGUCUCCUAACAGCCAUUGACAACGUGAAUUGCAAAAAUGUAAUACACUGCUGCUGCUGCACAGGCUACUGCAUUAACGCAGCAAUGUCCUCCAAUCAAUCUAAUUCGUCCUAAUAUCCUUUACCUCCAAUCAAUCUAAUUCGUCCUAAUAUCAUUUACCUGCAUAAAUAUACUGAAUUAUAUGCAAAGUGAUCUGUAGCGUAGCUGAGAACCGGACAAGGGUACAUCUAGGAUCUGUAGGCAUAGAGUAUGUAACAGCAUUAUUUAUUUAGAAUAUCUGAUCAAUAUUUCUCUUAUUCCAUUGUGGUUCAAACAUUUUAGUAUUUCUCCCGGUAUUGUAUCUGUACCUACUGCUUUGCCAUUUUUCAUUGCAGCAAUGGCAGACUUUACUUCUUCCAUUAUGAUGGUCGGUCCUUUCUCUUCAUCACUUACACUGUUGUGUGAUUCAAGUUCCAGAGUUUCUGGUUUGCUAUUUGUGUCAUAUAGCUCUUUUAUAUAUUCUUCCCAUCUCUGGAGGACAUCGUCACGAUCUUUGUACACUACCUCUUCGUCUUUACUCAAAAUUUCCAUAGUAGCACUUCCUGCUCUGUUUUGUUCCCAUGUCAUAGUCUUUACUCUGUUGUAUAGUAAGUCGUAUCUUCCCUUCCUGUCCAGUUCUUCAAUUUCAUCACAUUCCUCUUUUAGACAUUUUUUCCUAGCCUGCUCUGUUUCUCUUCGCAGUUCGUUAUUUAACCUUCAAUAUAUCUUUCUUGCAUCUUCAUUGUUCUUGUUUUUCAAUUUUCUUCUCUCCUCCAUCUUGGAAAUCAUUUCUUGUGUGACCCAUGGUUUUUUUGACCUUUUCCCUUUUACAUAUCCUAUAUUUUGCUGUCCUGCUUUAAUGAUUCCUUCUUUCAGCAUAUUCCAGUACUCGUUGGCAUUAUCAGGUGCUUCUUUGUCUCGUAAUGUGUUUAGAAAGUCCCGAGACAGCAUUUCUGUAAUUGGUCUUUGUUGGACCUUAUCUUCUCUAGAUCCCACUUCUUCACCAUUGUCGCCUUUUUCAGUAUUUUCAUUCUUAUUUCUAUUUCUGCCAUAAGUAAGUUGUGGUCACUAUUAAUAUCUGCACCUGGUAAUGCGUGCAGCUUCUUGAUUCCAUUCCUGUAUCUUUCUUCUACCAGUAUAAAAUCGAUUUGGUUUCUGUAUUUAUCCCCUGGUGAUUUCCAAGUGUAGAGCCCCCUCUUAUGGUUCUUGUACCAUGUGUUUGCCGCUAUCAGCUGCCUUUCCCUGCAGAAGUCAAUUAACCAUUCAUCUCUGUCAUUUCUCUUUUCAAGACCAUGACUGCCUACUAUGUUUCCCACUUUCCCUUCUCCCACAAUGGCGUUCCAGUCUCCCAUUACUAUUUUGCAGCAUUUUUUAUUUUCGUCCAUUAUUCUCUCUAUUACAUUAUACGUUUCCUCUACAAUUUGGUCAUCAUGUUCUGAAGUUGGCAUAUACACCUGGACAGUCAGUAAAUCUUUUUGUGCUCCUUUCAGCCUUACACCAAUAACCCGGUCAUUUGCAUAGUCUACAUAUUCCACACAUUUAGCCAAUUCCUUUGUCAUAAUCAUUCCUACUCCAUUAAUUCCUUUUACUUCUCCUCCUGAGUAAUAGAAUACAUAUUCAUCUGACUGCAACUCUCCAUGUCUAUUCCAUCUUACCUCAGCAACUCCUAUGAGGUCCAUAUGACUCUUUUCCAUCUCUCUUUUAAGGUUUUCUAGUUUUCCUGCUUGUAGCAGAGUUCUGACAUUCCAGGUACCAAUUCUCGUUUUGAUUUUUUGCCUCCUUUCAAGUUGUCCCCCCCCGGAGAUCCGAAUGGGGGACUAUUUUACCUCCAAACACUGAUUUAACAUGAGAGGAUGCCAUUUUUUGUGCAUAAAAUGGAGACUGCAUUAUGCAGGGAAGACAAUCUGCGGUGGUAUUCCGUUGCCUUCCACAGUUCUGGAGGCCGCCCCUAACAUGGGAUACAGACGCCUUUUGCAGCCACCCGCUCCGGGUCAGACGCUGCAUGAGAAGUAUAGGUUGGAAAAUGAAAGACCCCUAGCCCUCGAAACCUAAUAGCGUCAGGGUCGGAAAAGAACAAGAGCUGGCCGAGGGUGGCCAGAUAGGAAAGAUAAAAGUGAGGAGCCUGGCAUAAGUAAGUGGAAGCACUGCCAGGACUCAGCUCGGGGCCCCGUGGUCGCCAGCCACGUAUCGCUAGGUGUGACUCCCUGAGGGGGAGUAUGUAUCAGAAAGUGUUAAUGUAUGAUUAAACUAUUUUUAAAUUACAAUCAUUUGGCUCUGUCAUUGUGACACUUGCAGACUUUAAAUACAGGGAAGUGCAAAUGAGAAUUCAGAGUUUUUUAGCAGCUUGAAGUAUUCAUUGUGAUCUAACAUUUCAGAUCACUGAACAAGAAUGAAAGUCCAGAAGAAGGGAAGUUCAUACAUGGUGGUGGGAUGCUGUAGCUGGGCUGCCAGAACAAUAUCUAAAGGUGACUAUUCAUCAGCAAGAUGUAUAACAGAUGGUGGACCUGUGAAUCCUGAAGGGCAGACAGAGCAACUCAACAAGUUUGUGGUGUGCAAAUUUGAUAUGCUAAGUGGCCAUAGUGGAGCUGCAAUCAAUUGUUUUAGCAAAAUACAGGAUAUGAAGGAGCAUGCACAAGUGGUCUGGUGGUAUGCACAGACAAAAUUGGCAACCCAAGUGCAAAGAGACUUUCAUCAAGUUUACAACAAAGCACCCCUGUCAUUCAAGACUAUAAAGAAAUGGUGUGAUCAGUUUUAGGCUACUGGGAGUGUUGCAAAAGGGCAUGGUGGUGGUAAGCCUGGGAUCAGCAAACAUCAUGUGGAACAAGUGCAGUGGUCAUUCGAACAAAGUCCACAGAAGUCAGUGCGAGAGGCAGCAUGAGAACUUCAUAUGAAACGUUCAACAGUGCACAAAGUGCUUCAUCAGCAAUUACGUUUGUACACAUAUAAAGUGCAGGUUGUGCAAGAAACCAAGCCUGAUGAUUGACCAAAGUGAGGAGAAUUUGCAUGUGUCAUGUUAGAUCACAUUGCUUUGGACGAGACAUUUUUAUCACAGGUGAUGUUUUCUGACGAGGCAACCUUUCAAGUGUCAGGGACUGUCAAUCACCACAAUGUGCACAUCUGGAUCAAAAAUCCACAUGCACCUUGGGAACACGUGCGCGACAGUCCGAAAGUUAAUGUGUGGUGUGGUUUGAUGAUAAAUCGCAUUGUUGGGCCGUUUUUCUUUCAGGAGCUGACUGUGGAUGGAGCCAUCUACCUGGACUUGUUGGAGCAAUUUGCCAUGCCACAGAUAACAGACCUGCAGCCAAAUUUGAUGUUUCAACAGGAUGGUGCACCACCCAAUUGGAGCCUUGAUGUCCAAAAAUUUUUACAUGACAUGUUCCUGCAACGAUGGAUUGGUCGUGGAGGUCCAAUUCCUUGGCCGCCACGUUUGCCCGACAUAACCCCCCUCGAUUUUUUCUUGUGUGGUUAUGUGAAAGACUAGGUAUACGCUACACCAGUAAAGGACAUGCAAGGCUUUAAACAGCGUAUUAGAAUUGUCAUCAACUCUGUCACAGAACGGAUGCUCUACAACACAUGACACAAAAUCGAUUAUAGACUUGAUAUUCUUCGCGCUACCCAUAGCACCCAUGUUCAAGUGCACUGAACCGUCAACCUGCGUAUGAAAACUUGAUGAGCUGCUGUAUGAUUUCCCUGUAUUUGUUUGUCAAUAAAUUGUGUUUCCUCUCAGA